Molecule: ribosomal RNA, 457 nt
Filed under: uncultured Glomus
Lineage: Eukaryota; Fungi; Glomeromycota; Glomeromycetes; Glomerales; Glomeraceae
Description: SSU rRNA
Rfam family: Eukaryotic small subunit ribosomal RNA
Source: RNAcentral
AGCAGCCGCGGUAAUUCCAGCUCCAAUAGCGUAUAUUAAAGUUGUUGCAGUUAAAAAGCUCGUAGUUGAAUUUCGGGAUCAAUUUGCUGGUCGUGCCUUCGGUACGCACUGGUAUUAUUGGUUUCUCCUUUCUGAUGAAUCGCGAUGUCAUUAAUUUGGUGUCGUGGGGAAUCAGGACUGUUACUUUGAAAAAAUUAGAGUGUUUAAAGCAGGCUCACGCUUGAAUACAUUAGCAUGGAAUAAUGAAAUAGGACGUUUGAUUCUAUUUUGUUGGUUUCUAGGAUCGACGUAAUGAUUAAUAGGGAUAGUUGGGGGCAUUAGUAUUCAAUUGUCAGAGGUGAAAUUCUUGGAUUUAUUGAAGACUAACUACUGCGAAAGCAUUUGCCAAGGAUGUUUUCAUUAAUCAAGAACGAAAGUUAGGGGAUCGAAGACGAUCAGAUACCGUCGUAGUCUUAAC